GGCGGCAUGGCAAAGUGGUAAGGCAGGGGACUGCAAAUCCUUUAUCCCCAGUCCAAAUCUUGGUCUCGCCG
Triticum aestivum (bread wheat) is the source of this 71-nucleotide non-coding RNA. Lineage: Eukaryota; Viridiplantae; Streptophyta; Magnoliopsida; Poales; Poaceae. The record is from Rfam.